UAUCACACAUUUCAGAUUGACUCUCUCUCCAGUGAAUACAGGAUUGUUUGGUGUCACAGUCAGUGUAGAUGUGGGUAAAUCUGUAAAGAAUGACACAAAUGUGUUAAUAUUUUGUUUAUAUCAACAAAACGAUUUCAUGUGAAUUCUGCUGAUCACUUUAAAAUCUUGUAGAUUCUGUAUAAAUUCACUUUAUUUCCACUAGUAAAGGUAAAUUCAUCUGUUCCUUUGUUUUUGAUGUGUGAUUUUUUUUUUUUUUUUUCUCCAAACAUCUGGAGUUUAUUUUCUGCACUCAGUAAAAUGAUCAGAGCUUUAAUGUCUUCUUCUGGUCAUGUACAAAGCACAGAGUUUUGACAGGGGUGUGUUUCUAUGAAUUGUUCGGUUUUGUUUUUGUUUUUUUCAUAACAUUAGUGAUCAGCCAUGACAGUAAACGGUCUGUAAACAGAGGUUGAAUGUUUUGUUUGUAAAGCGUUGUCUCUGGACAGUAAUGUUUGGGUUGUGCUCAGAAAGACUGAUGUUCUGUGAUGUCAGGAUGAUGCAGACUGACUUUUUCUGAGAGUCCUAGUUCGGGUGCUAGUUCAGAGCUAGUACUGGUGUCAGUUCGGAGUUGGUUCAACUGAUAAGCCUUCUAAGAACCGGUUUGCCUUUCCACGGGCUAGAGAGCAGCACAGAGCCAGGUUUUACAUAGCCUACAUCUCAUAUCACAGCAAAGCUAGUGCUGCAGCGCCAAACACACCACGCUUGUUCGAGAUGCAUCGGCUUCUCGAAGAGCGUUCGGUGCGUGACAUAAAAGCAUCGCGAGAACGAUCCAAAAGCACAAGGAGUCGUAUGCUCUACAAACGCUCCCGCGGACCUGCGGCAGUCCGAUGUCACCCGCCGAAUCGGUCCGCGCUGCUCCGAUGCAUCUCGAACAAGCCUUACUCAGGACACAGACGGAAGAAGAGAAGUAAGUGAACACAGAUGUUCAUUUAGACAGAGGCACGAACACAGUCUUUGCAGAUGGAGAGAUCAACGUGGAACGGAGAACAGGAGACGGAUGACGACAGGAAUGGAGACACGGGAACUCAGACAAACACCUCAGACUUGCCUCAGAAUGAAGCUCCUGGUGAAGGAGAGAUGAAGACUCCAACUACAACUUCAUAUGAGGAGCAACUGAAUCUGAAUCAUCUUCAACAAACUAUCUGAAGACUUCAUGAACUCAUUUAACAUCAUUUGGGAAAGCCCCUUAUUCAUGGAUUUCAUGUGACGUCACACAGUGGUACGGGCGCCAUUUGUAGGACUGAAUUACAACAAGCCGUCUAUCUGCUGUGCUGUGGGCUGUGAUAACAGCAAAUCACAAAGAAAUGGAUUAAUGUUUUACAAUAUCCCCACAAACCCUGAGCGUCCUCAGCAGGGACGUGCACAGACAUUUUGGGGGGCAGGGGCUCAAGUGGAAAAAAGGGCACUUCUCAUAAUUAUUUAUUUUAAAAAAUAAUAAACCCUUAAAUAUAUUAAGACAACUCUGACAAUUUAUUUAAUUCCCUUACACUCACACAAUUGUUUUAUACUCCACAGAUUUCUACAAAAUAAUUAGUUCACACAGAGACCAUGUUCUUCUUUAGUAUUCACUAGGUUUAUCACAAGAGCAGGCAACAGCAACUAUUUUCAAGUAGCUAUAUAAAUGAUGCACCAAGGAGAGGGACAUAGUUUCACUAAUAAUUUGUUUAUUUUGCACAAAUCAAUAAAUCGUUUUAAUUCUUUUGGUGUUAUUGGAAUACUUCUUUCAUGUAGGGGACAAUUUUAAGAUUU
This is a long non-coding RNA of Megalobrama amblycephala (Wuchang bream), 1785 nucleotides long. RefSeq lists it as uncharacterized. Lineage: Eukaryota; Metazoa; Chordata; Actinopteri; Cypriniformes; Xenocyprididae. The record is from RefSeq and is a predicted model, not a curated record. The transcript has 4 exons.